Molecule: long non-coding RNA, 2774 nt
Filed under: Schizosaccharomyces pombe (fission yeast)
Lineage: Eukaryota; Fungi; Ascomycota; Schizosaccharomycetes; Schizosaccharomycetales; Schizosaccharomycetaceae
Source: RNAcentral
CAAUGCUACGGCGUCUUUUAACUGACGGCAAAUGAUCAACAGAACCAUGCUUUUUGUGGACUGUCGUAAUAGUUCCUAAUCCUCUUUUGCAAGGAGAAGUUUUGUCCAGCAUAUCUGGGCUUGUUCGAGGAUGUUGUAAUGGUGAGGCUGAUCGCCUACUUAGUGAUUCUCCAACAUUAAAAGAUGGAGGAGUUGUAGGGGUUAUCGAGGAUUCUUCAGGUUCCUUUGCUUUUUUCAAUGGACCAUCGGAUUGUAAUGCAGCAUCGGGUGAAAUGGGCGAUAAGACGUCUGCAAUGCCCACCUUAGAAUCAGUGUGUAAAUCAGCAAUAUCAGUUUUCUUGUCCCUAUUAGAGGAAUCUUCCUCAACAGAGGGUAGUGGAGAUUGUAAAUCUUUAGUUGGUUUUUUCUCCUUCACAGAUGGCUGUAACUUCGGCUCCAUGACUACAUCGAUUCCUACACUUUCUGUGGGUAAUGACUUAACAGCAGGCCAUUUUUGCAAAAUACUAAGACGGUACUUAUCUAACCAAAACUCUUUCAAGGAUUUGGCAUAGACCGAUGUGGGGUUUGAAGGUUGCGGUAAUGAUUCAGCAGGGCUAGGGGUAGAAGGGGUUGAGGAAGGUGUCAGAGACAAACGGUCUUUUGCUACACUGACACGGUUUGCAGUAGAAGCGCGGCGGGCCGCUUUAAUAUAUUUAGUAACUCUGGAAAAAACACAGUUUUUCUUAUCCUGUGAGGCACAUUCGUUAAACGACAGGAAGGUAGAAAGCACUUCUGAAAGUAAUUCCAACUCUUCCAUAUUGAAGGAGGGUCGCGACAUACCAGGCGCAAACUGGCGAAAUGGAUGGGAAAUAUCGAGAGUCCAAUCCCCAAUAAUCUCUGUUUCCGGAGCUAUGUGAGUAGUUGAAUAGAGGAUAAAUCGAGGAACACUGUUAGACCCAUUCAUGUAAACACUUGAAACGACGGAGUUUGACUGACAACCUUUACGCGCAAACCUCGCUUUUGAACCAGCAACCCGUGAGUCAACAACAAGCUGAGAAUUUGAGUCAAAAAAGACAUGUGGCUUAGGAGCCCCCAAAAUAUUGUACUGGUUUUUGGGAUCACUUUUGUAUUCAUUCUGCGUACAAACCCUUCCUUUCACCUCCAUAAUGGGUGUAUUUGGAGGAAUUUCGCAAGUUGACACCAAACCAAAGCGACUACAACAAAACUUUGAAGAUGAUAUAGGUACGACUUGGCAUCCAUCCAUUAAAACUUCGGAUUCAUCUAAAUUCUUUAAAUCCAAAUUCUUAGAAUACUCAAGCGCAGAUGCAGAAAAGGUGUUUGAUUCCAAAGGGACGUAUUCCAAGUGAAACGAAUACACAUAUUCGUUAGAAGCCUCGGUGAUUGGAGCCUCUGGUGGGUUGUUAAGGUGGUUGGAUCUUCGUCUGCGAUUCUGAGAAUGUGGAGCAUGAGCAUUGGGCAAUGUUGCACCAGUCACACUGUUACGAUAAGACCCCGAGUUCGAAGAGUUGGUAGACUGUGAAAAUAAAGCGCCAUUAGCGCCUGUGUUAUUGCCUUGUCUCGGUGACGCAGAGUGUGUAGGACUAGCACCAUUUUUGCCAAAACUAGUUCUUCUCUUGUUGUUGGAAGAACGGGAUCGCGAUAAUAUCCUAGACUGCUCUUCUUCGCGCUGUAACCUAGCUAGUUGAAUUUUAUGCGCCUUGUCGGCAUCGAUAGGACGAGGUUGGCAUUGUUCACAAAAAUAUUUUUCAGGAACAUUAUUUGCAUCUAUGUUUACACAAACGGCGUGUUGCCAUACCUCGCAACUUUCGCAUUGGAUGGUGAAUCCGUCAUCAUCCUCGAAUGGACAAACGCAUCGUAUUUUCCACAUGCUAACUUAACCAAAGAGAAAACGAUCAACUUAUAACAAAGUAAAGAAGUAUUUCAUAAACGCUAAUUUCUGUACAGGAGCAAUUUAACCUUGGAAAUUACUGCUUUCUUAUGAAAGCAAAGAUUUUAGCCCCAACUAUACCAAUGGCUAUCUCGAUUAUCUGAACUCUCCUAAAACUAGGAAUCUAGUAUAUAAAUACUCGAAAAACCAUGUAAGUUGAACAAAUACUCUGUUUUCAAUUUGCAUACGCGAUUUUGGUAGUUGAUACGACGUCGCGAUUAUUCCGCUCUUCAACAUUUCCAUCCACCGAGUGUAAACACACGUCCCAUAAACCACGUUUCCGCAGUCUAACGUCUCCUCGGUAAAAACAAAGAGAAGAAGAUGUUGAAGAAUAGUUCAUUUCUCUAUGAAACUUCUCAUUUUACAUAUUUUAGAAGGUAAUAAAACUGUCAAGGAGUUUUUAAUGAGUCUUGCUAAGAAACCAUUUUGAAAAAAAAAAAUCAUCUACUAAGACAAUGAGUUGAGAUAAACGGCAGGUGCAAUGUGUCAGUAGUUAGCUAAUGUAUGGUGUUAGUGAGUGUGCGCAAGCAAUCGAAAACGUCAAUAACGGACUCGCAACUCUAAAGAAUUAACAACCUUUAGCAUUGGACUGUAGGGUUUAAACAGCUUUACAAGGAGAGGGAUCUGUUUUCAUGAGUUCCACAGUGAUAUGAGACUUGAAUAGGCUUGUCAACUAUAGAGAAAUGUAUAUGCAAGGAAACCAGCAUAAAUGACAAAGUCUUUACUGUUUUAUGACUUACUAAAUAUACCUCAUGGAGAAUUGAAUCCAAAUAAUGAAGCAAUGUUCUAUCGUUCUAGUAGAAUUUUACAUUUCGAAGAGGCAUUUGUGAUAAACGAAACUAAUAAU